Gossypium arboreum is the source of this 1075-nucleotide long non-coding RNA. RefSeq lists it as uncharacterized. The record is from RefSeq and is a predicted model, not a curated record. The transcript has 2 exons. NCBI's taxonomy places the organism in Eukaryota, Viridiplantae, Streptophyta, Magnoliopsida, Malvales, Malvaceae.
CACUACUUGCAUUUGUUGUUUGAAUUUUGUCCUGUUAUUAAAUUUAUAAUAAUAUCAAUUUAAUUAUUCAUUAAAUUCAUAAAAAGAGAGAAAAGGCUGUUCAAUUCAAAACUAAAUGCGAAGGAAAACUUACGAAUGGAUGAGAGAAUCAAAUUGAUAAAAAAAAAAAAAAAAGAGAGAAAUGGAAUUAUUAUAGGAGUGUUUAAUAGUAAUGUUAUGUUUUUCAUAGAGUUGGUUGCGAUUAAGAUGCCUAAAUAUAACAGCUGGAGCUGAUGGGUUUUGAUUAGGUCAUGAUUAUUAUCUCACAGUAAACAUGAGAACAAGAAUUCAUAAUUAAAUAAUAACAUAAUUACUACUUUUUAAUGUUUUUCUGGAACCCAAGACCCAGAUGUAGGGCCAGGGCUUCACCUUGGGGGACUCUGCUACUUUUUAUUACUUUUGUUUGUCCUUUUCACCUCUCCAUCUCUCCUCUUUUUUUCUUUUUUUUCUUAACUUGUUUUUUCCCCUUUUUGAUCUCUAUAUAUCAACUUUUAGUUCCUCACUUCAAUUCUAUCACUCACCUAUGCCAUUGUUAAUCUUCUUUGGGUGAAAUAGAUGAGAAGAUUGAAAGGAAGCCAUUUCUUUUGAGGGGAAUGUUGUCUGGCUCGAGGCCAUCAACUAGAUCUAUGGAUUUUUUUUUCAUAUAUCAAAGUUUGAGAGAUGAUGAUGAUUUAAUCAUUAAUCAUAGGUUAAUGACGUCGGACCAGGCUUCAUUCCCCCCAAUUAUUUGCUUCCAAUUUUGAUUAUGUUCUCUCGGUCUUUUGUUGGUAAAACAAGAAGUGGUGGGUGGUGGAUGAUAAGGAUGCUGGAGCUGUGUAAUCUCCGCCAUUUAUGUUUUGUUUUUAUGCUUGCUUUUAUCUCUGGUUAACUUUGGUACUUACUAUACAUGCUGUUAAUGGUUUAGAACUGUAGUAUCCUUUGCAAGUUUCAAGGCUGAAUACAUGGAAUUCACUCCCUGGCUUGGAAGUAUUUGUAAGGAGAUUCUACGGUUCUUAGAAUUAUAAGCAACAUUUGAUGCUUACCAGCUUUUGAUUAA